Molecule: transfer RNA, 74 nt
Filed under: bacterium
Lineage: Bacteria
Also listed under: 1 other name
Description: tRNA-Lys
Rfam family: tRNA
About the family: Transfer RNA (tRNA) molecules are approximately 80 nucleotides in length.
Source: RNAcentral
GGGCCGCUAGCUCAUCCGGUUAGAGCAUCUGCCUUUUAAGCAGAGGGUGCCUGGUUCGAGUCCAGGGCGGCUCA